AUUGAACGCUGGCGGCAGGCCUAACACAUGCAAGUCGAGCGGAUGAAGGGAGCUUGCUCCUGGAUUCAGCGGCGGACGGGUGAGUAAUGCCUAGGAAUCUGCCUGGUAGUGGGGGAUAACGUCCGGAAACGGGCGCUAAUACCGCAUACGUCCUGAGGGAGAAAGUGGGGGAUCUUCGGACCUCUCGCUAUCAGAUGAGCCUAGGUCGGAUUAGCUAGUUGGUGGGGUAAAGGCCUACCAAGGCGACGAUCCGUAACUGGUCUGAGAGGAUGAUCAGUCACACUGGAACUGAGACACGGUCCAGACUCCUACGGGAGGCAGCAGUGGGGAAUAUUGGACAAUGGGCGAAAGCCUGAUCCAGCCAUGCCGCGUGUGUGAAGAAGGUCUUCGGAUUGUAAAGCACCUUAAGUUGGGAGGAAGGGCAGUAAGUUAAUACCUUGCUGUUUUGACGUUACCAACAGAAUAAGCACCGGCUAACUUCGUG
Molecule: ribosomal RNA, 484 nt
Filed under: uncultured bacterium
Lineage: Bacteria
Description: partial 16S ribosomal RNA
Rfam family: Bacterial small subunit ribosomal RNA
Source: RNAcentral